UACAGAGGUCUCAAGCGUUGUUCGGAUUCAUUGGGCGUAAAGGGUGCGUAGGUGGGCAGUUAAGUCAGUGGUGAAAUCUCCGGGCUCAACCCGGAAACUGCCAUUGAUACUAUCUGUCUUGAAUAUCGUGGAGGUAAGCGGAAUAUGUCAUGUAGCGGUGAAAUGCUUAGAUAUGACAUAGAACACCAAUUGCGAAGGCAGCUUACUACCCGAAUAUUGACACUGAGGCACGAAAGCGUGGGGAUCAAACAGG
Molecule: ribosomal RNA, 253 nt
Filed under: uncultured bacterium
Lineage: Bacteria
Description: partial 16S ribosomal RNA
Rfam family: Bacterial small subunit ribosomal RNA
Source: RNAcentral